RNAcentral lists this ribosomal RNA (440 nucleotides) under uncultured bacterium. RNAcentral's name for it is "partial 16S ribosomal RNA". It matches the Rfam family "Bacterial small subunit ribosomal RNA", at positions 338 to 795 of the family's 1533-position model. The record is from RNAcentral.
CCUACGGGAGGCAGCAGUGGGGAAUAUUGCGCAAUGGGCGAAAGCCUGACGCAGCGACGCCGCGUGAGGGAUGAAGGUCUUCGGAUCGUAAACUCCUUUUGUUAGAGAAGAUUAUGACGGUAUCUAACGAAUAAGCACCGGCUAACUCCGUGCCAGCAGCCGCGGUAAUACGGAGGGUGCAAGCGCUACUCGGAAUCACUGGGCGUAAAGAGUGCGUAGGCGGGGUAAUAAGUCAGAUGUGAAACCCUGUAGCUUAACUACAGAACUGCAUUUGAAACUGUUACUCUGGAGUGUGGGAGAGGUAGGUGGAAUGCUUGGUGUAGGGGUAAAAUCCGUAGAGAUCAAGAGGAAUACUCAUUGCGAAGGCGACCUGCUGGAACAUUACUGACGCUGAUGCACGAAAGCGUGGGGAGCAAACAGGAUUAGAUACCCCUGUAGUC